CCUACGGGCGGCAGCAGUGGGGAAUAUUGCACAAUGGGGGAAACCCUGAUGCAGCGACGCCGCGUGAGUGAAGAAGUAUUUCGGUAUGUAAAGCUCUAUCAGCAGGGAAGAAAAUGACGGUACCUGAUUAAGAAGUCCCGGCUAACUACGUGCCAGCCGCCGCGGUAAUACGUAGGGGGCAAGCGUUAUCCGGAUUUACUGGGUGUAAAGGGAGCGUAGACGGCAGCACAAGUCUGGAGUGAAAUGCCGGGGCUUAACCCCGGAACUGCUUUGGAAACUGUGCAGCUAGAGUGCAGGAGAGGGAAGUGGAAGUCCUAGGGGAGCGGUGAAAGGCGGAGAUAUUAGGAGGAACACCAGGGGGGAAGGCGGCCUACUGGACUGGAACUGACGUUGAGGCUCGAAAGCGUGGGGAGCAAACAGGAUUAGAUACCCUUGUAGUC
Molecule: ribosomal RNA, 440 nt
Filed under: uncultured bacterium
Lineage: Bacteria
Description: partial 16S ribosomal RNA
Rfam family: Bacterial small subunit ribosomal RNA
Source: RNAcentral